GUCACUGCUGUGGACUGACUGUUGAGACAGAGGUGGAUUUGAGAAAAUUAACUGAGAUGAUUCAUAACUGACUCUGUGAUCAACAGAAAAGAGCACAUGGGGCAGAUUCCUUUUAUUCAUAGAAAAAUAAUACUUUAAUCUUUUAACUCUCAAGUCACAACAGACUCCUCAAGUGAAAGAUGAACAUUAAAGGGAGGUUGAAACAGUGAAGGUGUUUCUGUCAGAGCAGAGUGAGAUUUUCAGAAACAGUUUGUAUUGCUGUUAUAUUUCAGUCUGUGGCAGAAUGAAUCUCCUGAACCCAGCUGUGUGUCCAUGAAGAGUGACUGGUCAAUGGAUCAUCCAAUGCAGUUCAGCUCGGGAGACACAUCUGCUGAUCUGAGGUGUUGUUUAGUUUACAGUAUGAGAAAUAUAUAUGAUAUUUAUGAUAUUCAUUAAUUUACCGAUGUGUAUUAAAUACAUUACUACAUGUUUACAAAAAUAUUCAACAUUUGUUUAACUACAGUCAAAAACAUAAAGGACCACAAUCACAUACAUCAAAGAAGAACUUAGACUCCAUUUUUAAGGUUGGUUUUGUGCAUGUGUGUGUGUAUGUUUGAGUGUGUGUGUGUGUGUGUGUGUGUGUGUGUCCAUCCCAACACAAUAAUCCUCUGGGUAAAAGUAUUAAAAAACUGAGAAAUCUGUGAAAUCCUCUCUGUAAUAGUCAUGUUUACUUUCNUGAAAUGUUUCACAUUUUUAAUGUUCAGAAACAAUAAAUGCACACAACAAUAGCAUUUUCAUUUAUAGUCAGAUUCAGGGGCAUGAAUCAGAUUUAUCUGAACACAUGGAUGUGUCUGUGAGGAAAAACCCAGCAAUGGAUCUUUCAGAUCUCUGCAGAGAGGAAGACUCUUCUGUUGAGUCCAGUCUGUGGCAGAAUGAAUCUCCUGAACCCAGCUGUGUGUCCAUGAAGAGUGACGCGUCUAUGAGUCAUCCAAUUCAGUUCAGCUCGGGAGAAUCAUCUGCUGAUCUGAGUCAAAAACAUAAAGGACCGCAAUCACAUACAGCAAAGAAGAACUUAGACUCCAUUUUUAAGGAGAUUGAGCACAAAAUCAUCUCUGAGUUAAAAA
Molecule: long non-coding RNA, 1103 nt
Organism: Cyprinus carpio (common carp)
Lineage: Eukaryota; Metazoa; Chordata; Actinopteri; Cypriniformes; Cyprinidae
Source: Ensembl